UUCACAACACUACAUAAUCAACCAUAAAUCUAUUCAUGACAACAUCUUUGGUAGUGUUGACUUGGUUAUGGGCGUUAUGGUUAUGGGCCGAUCUUGACUGGAAGCUCACCUCUUAUGCCACUAUUGGAGAAUAAAUAAUCACUCGUGCCAUUCUUAUGUUUGGAAUAUUAUUAUUGAUUUUUAUUUAAAUCGAAAAAUGAGGAAAGGACGAAAAACCCUUGCGAAACCACAAAAACUACAAGAAAACUUAAUUUGUUGGGCUCGGGCCCAAAAAAAAAUGUAAAUACUCGGCUCAGUUGUAUUAUUUACAGAAAAAACCUAAGUAAAAACCUAAGUUCCCCCUUUUCACUUCUCGACUUCUUCCUCUUCUCUCCGUCGUCGUCUUCUUUCGUCUCCGACGAUACCACUUUCACCGGAAAAAUCAAUCUCUUCUAUUCUUCUUUCUUCUCCGUUUUCGUUCGUCUUUGUCUCUUUCAUAUCCGCAAAUUUAUUUUCCAAUGGCUAGAGUAAAAGACUCAUCUGGAGAAUAUGAAUCAACUAGGGUUGAAUCGACCGGCGAAAUUCCUCCAUCAGUCGACGAGACCGCCGCCGAGAUUCCCCAAAGAGAUGAAGAAGGCGCAGAGCUUCUUACAACAGAAGAGGAAGCCGGAGAAAUCCAGCCUACAACCGGCGAUUGUGACGCCGCCGAUUUGGGUAAUUCAAACGCCGUCGCAUGGGAAUCAAUUGACGAUCUUUCAAACCCAAAUGCCGAUUCUUGUGCAGAAGAAGAAGAGGCAACGAAUGCAGUUGUUCAACAUGAUGAUGGAGCAAAUAAGGUAUGAUAGAAGACCGUUAUUUUUUUGAUUAGGCUCGUUUUAGGAUAUUAUGCAUGCAUUGGUAAAUGAUUGGAUUUGUGAAUGGUGCUUCAGAUAAAACAAGUAGUACAACUAGGUCGUAAAUUUGUGAAUGGUCAUUCAGGAACAAGUAGUACAACUAGGUAGUUAAUGUGAAAUUGAAAGUAUUUUGAAUUGAAUAUGCAGGAUGAUGGUGAUGAUGAUAACCUGCCGCAGAAUAUGCAGGAUGGUGAUGAUGAUCUUCAGCCGCAGAAUAUGCAGGAUGAUGAUGAUGAUGAUGAUGAUAAUCAACCAUUGCCGCCAGAAGUUAUGUACUUUGAUCCAACUACCUACACGAAGGUGUGUAAGAUAGGAACGAGGUGUCAGUUGGUACAAACAGUGGAAUUUAUAGAGACUUUGGAUGCAGAACUGAAGUGGUUUAGGAAUCAUGACCAAUUUAAGCACAUAUUCCACAUGCCUAAGGAGCCCAAUCACAUGAUUCAAGGCAUGUGGAUGCUUAUGGUUCGCACGGCUAAGACAGAAUUGGCGAGAGAGUGUUGGUUUGUUGUCAAUGGAGUACCUAUAAGGUACUCAAUUAGAGAGCAUGCAUUGUUGACCGGUUUGAACUGCCGUGAGUACCCAAAAAACUAUAAGACUUUAGGCAGUUUGAAGUUUGUGGAGAAGUUGUUUAAGAGGACUGAGGACAUCAAGAUUAAAGACGUGGAAGAGAAGCUGGAAGAGUUUAAGAGUGAGAAGUCUACUGCUAGGUUGAAGUUGGCAAUUCUGUUAUUCUUAGCUAAGGUUAUGAAAGCUGAUUCUAAAGGGGAUUCGAAGAUAGAGGAGUUUUUGCUUAGGAUUGUGGAUAAUGUCAGAGCUUGUGAGACAUUCCCGUGGGGACGUUUUUCCUUUGAGCAGUGUAUGGAAGGGGUGCAGAGAGUAAUGAAGAACAUGAAAGGUGUGGUGAAACAAAAGGCACAGACUGCUUUUUAUGGAUUUAUUACUCCACUUGAGGUAAGUAGUCGAGUAAAUUAUAUGAGUGGCUAGAUUUUGUUAUUGUGAACUUUCAUUUACUUUUAUGUUUUUGUGUCUAGAUUCUGGCAUUUGAGUGCAUUCCGCAGCUUGGGAAGAGAUUUAGAGAAGUUGUACGUGCAGACAAGGAAUGUCCAAGAAUGUGCAAGCACAAGUUCAGUGAAAGUUGCAUGAAGGGAUUUACUUUGGAAGAAAUAAAUGAAGCACUUGGAGAUAUAACGGUUAGCUUUGUUCUCUUGAAAUCUAUGUUUAUAAUCUUUGUGGUGUUUGAAAUAUAUGUUUACUUGACAUGAUAUUUCAAGCAUCUUGGAACCUGAUAUGGAUGAGAGAAAAAUGUUGUCACGCGUUGUAGAGAAGCAUGUUGAUGAUGGUAUUGGAUAUAUCGAUCCAAUUGUUGAUAGUUGGAGAGAGAGGCUUAUCGUAGAGAAAAAGAAGAUUUUCUGGCGUAGUCUCUACCAAGCAGACAUUGAUGGUAGACGUAUUGAAACUGUUGAUGAUGUUCCAGCUGUACCUGAACCUGAAAUCCCUGGGACAUCGAUUCUCUCGUUCAAGGAAGCUAUGGAGAGAGGAUUUGACAAGCUCACGGACAAGCUUGCUGUGAUGGAUAGCGAAAUCAAGCGAAUUUGUUUGAGAGUACAAGGAAUAGAGGAAUAUGUGGCAGAUCAGCUUGAGAAAGAGGCAGAAAAAGACAAAUAUGAAGAUAUGUGUCCUGGUUCAGCUGCUGAUUUUGUGCCACCGUCUUAUCAGCCAAUGGAUACUCAGAGCAAGGCCUUGGUUAUUCACAGUGGAAUCCGUGACCCAGCACCUCCAACUAUUGAGUCUCUAAGUGAGUUUUUGUUGAACUUUUGUGUAGUGAUGCUUUCACAAUAGUUCUUACAUGUUUGGUUACAUAUUUUUGUAGGUGAUGGCAGCGAUGAGUCCGAUGAAGAGGAUAAGAAGAAGAAGAAGAAGAGGCAGAUAUCGAAGAAGAAGAGAAAGCAUGUUGGUCCUACUCUGGAAUCUGGGAAAAAACGUGGAAGGAAACCUUCCAAGUAUAAGGGGGAAGAGUUUACAGCUGAGGGGAAGCAAACGAGGAAGAGACUUUGACUUUUCUUUCUUGCUUAUGUGUGUGUGUGGACUCUUAGGUGUUUGGAGAAAUAUGACUUUCUUUUUGUGUAUUUGAGAAUGUUAUGCGUAGUUUAUGUGUAGAGGACAAACUUAUUUUCUGUAAUGGUUUAUGUGUUUUUUGAUUUUAUUAAAAUCAAAACGUUUGGCUAAGUUGUCCCGGUUGGCCGGUCAAUAAUACAAGAGUUGCUAAGUUGUCCCAGUUGGCCGGACAAUACACAUAACUUAAAAUACAAGAGUUGCUAAGUUGUCCCAGUUGGCCGGUCAAUACAUAUAACUUGAAAUACAAGAGUUGCUAAGUUGUCCCUGUUGGCCGGUCAAUACACAUAACUUAAAAUAGGUAAAUAACUAAGUUGUCCCAGUUGGCCGGUCAAUACACAUAACUUAAACUACAAGAAUAGCUAAGUUGUCCUUGUUGGCCGGUCAAUACACAUAACUUAAAAUAGGUAAAUACAUGUUUAAUUAGGUUCAAAUAUUACAUAAAAUCCAGAAACAUAACAUAAUUAGGUUCAAAUGCCAUACACCAUCCUCAAUAACAUAAAACACAUCAUAAUCACCAUGUAGAAAGUAAUGCCCUAAGCCUAUCAAUCUUGACUUCUUUGGCGAGUAACCUUUCUUUAAGGGUUUCAAUUUCGCUUUGCAUGAGUUGAAUAGUUUCCCGGAUGGACUCCAAAGCAUGAUUGCAUGCUAGUUGUCCAUGUCUUAGUGCGGAAUCAAGUUUGUGAUUUACCUUCUCAAGCUCCUCAGUUACCGCCUGAUCCCACCACUGAAUAAGGUGGUUUCGGGACUCGUACUCUUCAUCCUGCGAAAGAGAGAAGACUUCAUAAAUAUAAUUCACUUGUACUUUGUUGUUCCAAUGAAAUGAAAACACAAUAACUUACUUUAAGCAUUGGGCAUUUGUAGACUCUGUCGCCUUGCCUGUAACCAGUUUUGCACACUUCAAGUUUUACAGGCUUACCACAAAAACAUUUUUCUGGAACCCCCCAAUUUGCAUCGGCAUUCGCCUCUCCACUAUUCCAACUAGUUUCGGACGUGGAUGGUUGAGAGUAACUAUAGGGCAUCUACAAAACAGAGAAACCCGUAAGAAACCCUAGAUCUACUAAUUACGGCGGCUAAAAACCCGUAAGAAACCCUAGAUCUACUAAUUACGGCGGCUAAAAACCCGUAAGAAACCCUAUAUCAUACCUUGGUUGUUGUUGUUGUCGUCGGCGGUGGCAGAUAAUGGGAACCCUAAUUUCAGUUGUCGUCGCCGAUGUUGGGAAGGAAGAAGAGAGAAGAACGAGAGAGAGGAAGAAGAGAGAAGAACGAGAGAAGUGAAAUAGAAGAGAGAGGGAGAAAGAGAGAUUGAAGGAGAAUAAAUAGGUAGAAACUUUGUAGUGUGAACGCAAUAAUCGUAGUGUGAACGCAAGUCGUGGGGUCUAUUUUUUAAAAAAAUUGUAUUUAUUAGAAUAUUCAGAAUACACAUAGUUGUAUGUAUAUGUACAGUUGGCUGGAAUCACAAACAGUUGAACUUUUCUAAAUUUUGUGUUUUUGAAGUUGAAUCUGAAAAACCAACUCAUUUUUUUAGUUGGUCCCAUAAGUUUUAACAUAUUAAUGGAUUUUAAUAAGUUUUGAUAGAAUCAUAUUUAGUAAAUAACUGUUUUCAUACAUAAUGUAUGUACAUUGGACAAUCAUGAACUAUAUGUUCCUUGUUAUACAUAGGUGAUUUAUUAGGAAACCAGUUUAUGAUCAAGUUUAGUAAUAACAAUGUUGUAAUAUCAUAUUUUGGAUUUAUUCAAUGUUUAGAUGUUGAUAAUAGCUGAAAAUAUUGAGAAUUAUUUUAUCAUUUUGUUAAUCCAAAAAUACAGAUACAUAUAUCAGUUGUCUCAGUUGAACUUAAAAAAAUACAUUAAACUUGCAAAUAAUUCAAUAAACUUGCAAAUAAUUCAAUACAAAUACGAAAACAUAAAACAUAGUACAUCACACUUACAAAUAAUAUAAUACAAAUACAAAUGAACUUAGUUGUAUUGGUUGAACCCUUUCUCCUGUUGGCCAGGUUCUUCCGGUUGAACCCUUUCUGCAUCAGACUUAAUCUUCCUCAGGCUGCAGCCAAGCCUCCAAGUUUAUUCCAGGUUGCGAUUUUCUCCUCUUUCGUGCUUCACCAGCUGAUGGAAACCGCUUCUCUUGAUUUCGUCCUGGUACUUUUGGUGUGUAUUCCGGCGGAAAGGCAACUAACUCUUUAAUAUGGGCAGGAAGAACCCAAACCGACUCAUGUGGGACUACAUACAACGUCCGGUAAUAGGCCAAUGACCAACUAUCUAUCAAGUAAUACAUAAAGCAGAGUCCGUAGAUGGUUGUAUUCGCAUUUCUCCCUUUCUUGAGGGCGAGGUGCCUUGCUGCGGCCAUAGCAUGGACACACGGGAUCUUGUCUAUAUCAAAACAUUUGCAUGAACAACUUUUCAUUUUCAAAUCCACCAGAAAACUUACCGAGUUGAGAUCAAUCACGUUGUAUUCUUGGUUGUAACUGUUAAGCUCAAACACAGUUAAUUUGGCUGCAACUGGACAUCUAAUGUGCAAUAUGUUCUCCACAGUAGGCACAACUUGUACUGUGAUUGGACAAGAACCUGAAUCUUGCCUAUGCUCGUUGAACCAUUCAGAAAACUUAGAAAUCAUCACAUCAAUCAUUGGUAACAAGUGAUAUUUUCUCGCUUUUUUAAACACACCAUUAAUGGACUCCGCAGAAUUACUAGUGUCAAUGUUAUACUUGUCUCCUUUAAAAUGGCACCUCGACCAUUUCUCAAACCCUACUUUCAUAAGAAAGUCAGCAGGUUUAGGCCAUAAACUUGUAAAAUGACCAAACUCUUUCUCGAACUCACUCUCAGUAUAUGCAUGAGCACAAUCCCUGAACUUGACAGCAGCUCCAUCCUUGUCAAUUUUCACACGAUCUCUCAUGUUUUGACACAAAUGCCAUAUACAAGCUGCAUGAAGCGCAUUCGGGUACACCGUCUUGACAGCCUUCUUUAUGCUUUGAUGCCUAUCACUAAUAAAGACCAAUCCGGGAACAUCCGAAUAUACAGUUUUCAGCUUUUCUAAGAACCAAAUCCAACUUACAUCCUUCUCGCUAUCAAUGAUUCCAAACGCAAGUGGAUAAUGAUGAUGAUUAGGAUCUUGUGCUGUUGCAAUAACCAACAUCCCACCAUACACAGUUUUAAGAUGAGUUGCAUCCACAACUAUCACUUUCCGCAUUGCCCUAAAACCUUCAAUGCAAGCGCCUAAUGCAAUGAAGAGGUACUUGAACUUUUUCUCUCCUUCCAACUCCACAUAAGUUACUGUCCCUGGAUUUACCUUCUCUAACAUGUAAAGAUAAGAAAAUAACAUCGUGUAGCUUCUUUCCGGAGUCCCUCGCACAUCACUAACAUGUAGCAUUUUGCCUCUUAAGGCAGUGGAGUAUGAACAAUGCACCCCAAGUCUUCCUCUUACAAUCGACAUAAUGUUUUUUGGAGUUGGGGUCUCUAAAUUUCCGGGAUAGUCACAAUGCAAAACCGAUGCUAUUAAUCUUGGUGUGCCUCGCUGUAUACUGUUGCUUGUAGUCUCAACACUCCGAGAGCAUGUAUGCAUCUUUCUAUGCACUCUAACACUCCAAAAAUGAGAUUUCUUAGUUCUCGCAACUCUUAGAUACCAAGUACACCCUUUAGAAGCUUGGCGGCAUCGUAGCAUAAGUCUCAACGGGUCUCACUUAAUAGUAUAGACUCCAAAAACUUCUUUCUUUGCAGCUCUGUUAACCAAUUCCCACACAGCCUCCCUUGAACAAAAUUCUUGACCAAUUUCAAUACCCGUACCAUCAUCCCAUUCUAUAACCUGCGGAGUAACUUCUACACUUCGUGGAAUAUCGUGAAUAUCAUCAUAAUCAAUCCUAUCAUCCUCAUCUUCUUCCUCAACAGAAUUCACCGGCCUUUCCAUCGGCCUUUCGACAGCCACGAUCUCCGUACCUACUACAUUCUCACAAUCAUUCACAUCAUUAUCAUAUCCAUCAUGCACCAUCUCACAUACUUCAUUUAAAACAUUUACACCAACUGAACUUCGACGCUCCGGUAUAGAAAUUUCCUCUCUCCUCUCAACUCCUAUACCAUUUAAUUCCUCCACAUGCAAAACAGGAAUCCGACUCUCUUCAUCAGAUUCUGUUAAAAAUAUGAAGACAUCCUCAUCAUCUACAAUAUAUGUCUCUCUCCUAACUUUAAACAGAUUGUAACUCAGUUUCAACUUGACAGAAGCUUCAUCAAUCGCAACCUUCUUCAUGAUCUUGUCAACUAACAUCGAAUAGCUAAUCUUCUCCAAACUACUCGUCUUAAACGAUAUAGCAUAUAGUGAAUUUUUACCAAUCCAGCCAUUCACUUCAGAAUAGUAUCCUCCAAAGUCAAAAUGUACCUUAGUGUGGAUCUUCUUCUUCAUCGCUCCUGAAAAUAUAACCAGUUCAACUCCAAUCAAACAUUUUAAUAGUUAUACCACAUGUACUCUUAUCAUACGUUGAAAUCAAUCUCUCGUCGCACUCGAUUCUACUGAACCUAAUUCGUUACCUUUCAAUUGAUUUCCAAUGUUAAUACAUACCUAUUCGUUAAACUAAUUGGUUAAUCUAAACUUUGCAAACACAAACCCCCCAAAUCUUUAAUAUGAAAUCUCGGAAUUCAAAUUCAACUCACAUUCAACCUACAUUCCUUUGCUCAUCACCUCAAAUAACGUUUCGGCAACCUCUAAUCGAUUACUCUUUACUUUGCAAACCAAUCAUCAAACUAUCAAAUUGAAUCUGGGAAUUAUAUAGAAUUCAAAAUCCCAAUCUAAAAUCACAAUGCACCAAUGUCAAAGGAAAUAUGAGAAGAAACUGACCUAAUUCGUUGGCUUUUACGCCGGAUUUCAAGUCGGCGGCGGCCGGAAUCGAUGGUGGCCGACGAAGAAGAUGAACGUCGACCAAAGAAGAAGAACACGACGACGAAGAGGAGAGAGAACGGAGGAUCUCGAUUCUUUAUUUAGCUUUUGAAUUUCUUUUUCAUUUUUUUAAUCAACUCAUUAAGGGUACAACUGGUAUAUCACAUUUUCGGUGGCAUUCAGAUUAACUGAUGGCAGUCCAGAUCAGUUUUUUUAAAAAAGUGGCAUAAGUGAUAAAAGUUCAUCUUGACUUGGGUUAUGGUUUCGAGAUUGAUUUCUUGACCUAACUCAACUUGCUUGUUCUUGAAGAAACUGCUUUUAGUUUCUUUCUUUUUUUAAACUGCUUUUAGUU
This 8196-nucleotide small RNA is filed under the name Arabidopsis thaliana (thale cress). Its description in RNAcentral is "ATSL289760". Lineage: Eukaryota; Viridiplantae; Streptophyta; Magnoliopsida; Brassicales; Brassicaceae. The record is from RNAcentral.